Molecule: long non-coding RNA, 34393 nt
Filed under: Manihot esculenta (cassava)
Lineage: Eukaryota; Viridiplantae; Streptophyta; Magnoliopsida; Malpighiales; Euphorbiaceae
Description: long non-coding RNA (MESC_LNC009539)
Rfam family: small nucleolar RNA snoR116 (bases 690-769)
Source: RNAcentral
CCGUUUUGAUCUAGGGUUACUUAAAAACCGAAGUUCGACCUUUUUUUUCUGUUCAGCCGCCUCCCAUUUCGUUCAAAUCUUCCCUAUUUCUUCUCUCCCCCUCUCUAUAAACUCCAGUUGCCGGGCUGUUGGUCUGAUAUAUCCCUUCAGAUCUCCUUCUUUCUUCUUUCUUUCUAUACAUUUUCGCUUCUUUUCCUUUUUGCUGUUAGUUAUAGUUUGUUCUCCAAUGUUUGCAAUUGCAUUGUUUUUGCAACUGCCCUCGAGUUUCAUACAAAUCUGGUUAAUUCCUUUCUCAAUUUCUGAGCUGUUUUUGAAAUUGAUGUUUGAUUUAUCUUCUGUAAAGAUUACAUUGAAUUGAAGCUCCAGCUUUGUGUAGUUUGAACUUGGCAGUAUUUGGAGUUCUUUAGGAAAUCACUGGGGGGAUUUUUCCAUCUGUUAGCUUUCAAUCACAGAAUAGGCUGAAAAGUGUACAUGAAAUAUGAAAAAAUUUCGUCCCUUUUACUGUUGGUUUUGUUAAAUGUAUCCAUUGGCCUGUGAUGCAUAGAAAAAUUGUCCGUACCAUCUGAUGAUGUCAAUCUCUUGAUGUGUUGAAAUAUCUUCUGAGGCCUGUGUGAUUCUUUUUCAAUCCUUAUUUUUUGGGUUUAUAUUUCAAAAGAAGAUUAAUUUAUUGGCUAGAAAUUACGGUGAAAGGGCUUUGAUGAUGAAAAUUAUACCAUCAAACUAUGAGAGCUCAAAUGUGGGCUUGUUGAUGUUCAUAAUCUCUGAGCCCUUUCUUUCUGAAAGUAACUUAGACCUUCGGUGGCUUUUAAUUCUGUCUUUUUUCUUUUUAAUUUUCAAUUCGAUCCCAUAAGCGGAAACAAAAUAAUAUUUGGAAGGCAACAAAAUAGAGUCUCUGGAUUGCUUGAUAAUUUAUAGCGUUUUCAGUGCUGUACGUUGCCGAUACUGAUAUGGUUCUGAGAUUCUGGCAUUUUCCUCGCUUUUGUCCUUGAGGCUUAUGCAUUCAGACGUACGUACAUGCUCAUUUAAGUUUGCUUUUGAAAUUGUAAACUUUUGUUAAGGGAGAGCCUAAGGAAACCUGGUGCUUAUAUGAGCACUAUCCUGGAGAUGGGUAUAUUUACGAAAACAAAAAAAAAAACUUUCAAUUUUUCACCCAUCUCCAUGCAUACAUCUCCAUUCAGAAUGCUCAUAUGAGUACGAGCUUUCUCCUCUCCCUUUUUUUAUGCUCGUUGGUUCUAAGUUUCAUCUUUUAUGGGUCCUGUCUCUGUUUAGUUUCAUCUUGUAUAUCUUUUUUGCAUUACAGUUUAAUUUAAUCUCCACAGAUUGUUAUAAUUGAUUCAUUAUCUAGACAUGCAGUAAUGGAAGAUUAGAUAUUAUAAUAUAUCUUAAUUCAUGAACCUAUCUAAAUGAUAAAAUGGGUAUUGUUCUUUUGUAUGGAAUUUUUAUUUCUUUGUCCUGUACAUUAAUAAAAUGAAGAAAAUAAAUCAAUACAAAUGAUUUUUAACUGCUUGUUGGGUUGAGCUUUCAGUCACCAGAAAAUCAUGUUAUAUGCUUUUUCAUAACUGAGACUUUGUUAUUGUCCAUGGCAUGUGUGAAAGGCAACAAAUUAGAGUCUCUGAUGCACUACCUUAAUAGUGUUUUCAGCGCUGUACGUUGCCAAUAUGAAUGCGGGGGCUGAGAUUCUGGCAUGGUUCUAUUUGGGUUAGGCCAAUGCAUUCAGAUGUCCCUAUAAUUAAAUUAUGUUUUAACGCACAUCAAGAAGAAGUGCACUCGGACUAGGAUGUGAAUGAUUGUGGUGAAUUUGAUUUUUUUUUUCCUGGAUCUUAUUAUUUUUCAAUGCUACAAUAUGUAUGCAAUAUGAUCAGCUAGUCUACUCUCGGUCAAUCCUAAACGAGUUUGUUGGUGUAUCCUGUAUUAGCAAAUAGCAAAAUUAAGGUUUAUAGGAAGGGGUUUAUCCUCUGGUAUUCAAUUGCUACCAAUGUCUGUUCUGUGCCAUUCACUCUGUUUUCAAUUUGUGUAUCAGUCGUACACUCUAUCUUGCUUUCCCCCUCUACUUAGCUCAGUAUUAGAAGAAACAUGAGAAUGUGAAGUUGAGAUUGGUUGAUAUUUGUGAAAUAUAGGAAUGGGCAUAUGGUGCACCGAGGAAUUGUCCGCACCAUCUGAUAUUAUCGGUCUCUUGAUGUAUUGAAACACCUGUUGAGACCUUUAUAAAACCUUUUAGUUAUUUUAUUAUUAUUAUUAUUUUGUAAGAAAAGAAAAAGGAAAAUUAUUAUCGAGUCUCUAGUUUUUUAAAAAUUCAUUAAUUUAUCCUUACUUUAAAAUUGUUCUAAUUUGCUCUAAUUUAUCCUUAAUCUAAAAUAGUUGCAUCCUCGUGAGAAAUCUAUGCACAACCUAAAAGAGUGGAUUGACUGUGAUGAUGUACUCCUUGCAAAUGGGAGCUUGUACCUAUUAACAUGGUAAGUGGUAUCAAAGUUGAUCACAUUAUGGAAUUCUUGAUAGGCAGCUCUACCCUAAGGAUGAACCCACAUAACAUUUAAAAGCCUGCAAUCAAUAUCAAUAGAGUAGAAAAACUUGUGAUCUUUUUGUUGCAUGUUAAUAAAUAACCUGCUUAUAGCCUAAGCAUCACCAUCAACAAGUCUUAGCCUCCUCAUUUCAAUGAAAUUUCGAUCAUCUUUUGACAAACAACUUAAGUUCUCUGGACCCUCUGCUUAGACUUCUAGCAUUCUUAUGCUUUUUGACAUCCUUGUUAGCUAUAUCAGUCUCCUUCUCAUAUCAUUGUUCAAUGACCUAUGACCAACCAAUCUGGAUGCAGAAGAAUCCAAUUCAUAGUUGUGACUUGAUAUAAAUUUAGAACCCUGCCACAUCUGAUUGUGUCUAAGGACUGCAUUUAUCUUAGUUGAACAAUUUAGCCAUGAUCAAUUAGAACAAAGAGAGGUCGUAAGCAGAGAUUGUGAAGGAGAAAUGAAUCACAGACUACAUUAUACCUCUUGACAGAGAUUGUGAAGGAGAAAUGAAUCACAGGCUACAUUAUACCUCUUUGCAUUCUCAUUUCUUUAACUUCUAUUAAUAAUUUUCCUGAUUAGUGUCGAUUGAUUAUUGAUAAAUUCAAACAGAUAGUAACCGUUACAUUUGUUAUGCAUGAAAUGAGUUGUAUUACAUGGUUCUCACAACAAUUCUCUCCACCACUCUUGUAAGAUUCCAAGUAAUAGCUAAAGCUGGUUGGUGACAACAUGCAUUAAAAACUUGUAAGACGUGAACAGCUAAUAAUUUCAAGUUGUGUAUGGCUGCAAGGGACGACAAACGUGGUACAAAUGAAACUAUAAUGCUUUGUAAGACACGAAGCUACAACCUUCAUUCUUCAAGCUGUGAAGCCUUUUCAAGUCAUCUGAUGCGUGCAUAAGGGUAAUACUUUUCAAUAAUUUAAAAUGUAAAAUAGAUCUUGAGUUCCACAUCAUUAUCUUGGAUAAUAUUAAAAAAUUUGUAGCUUAUUAAUUAGGGUAUAAUCACUGCAUUUAAGAUGGCUCAAUUUGAGCCAUAUAGCACUACUCGAGUAUAGUAUGGAGUAAAAUCUUUUCUGGGUAAAUACGAUAUUUUAGAUUUUUGGUGCAACAUAUAUUUAUUUUUUUUUAUUAGGAGUCUUUUGAUUUUCUUACUGGCCCUCCAAGAAUUUAGUUUAAAAAAAAAAUACUAAAUAGGCAUAAUAAAUUUUAACUUUUAAAUCGAUUUCUUCAAAAUUUUUAUUAAUUUCUAAUAAUUUAUAACAUAUUUAUUAUAAUUAAAAUUGAAAUAUUAAAAUUUAUUGAUUGUAUAUUGAAUGGACAGAAAAAAUUUAAUUAAAAAUUGUUUUAUUAUUUUUAUAUUUACUACUUAAAAUUUGAUUAAUAGUUAUUUUAAAAUUAAAUGAAACACAAUCUAAAAAUUAUCUAUUAGAUAAUUUCAAAUUAACUUUAUCCUUUCAAAAUUUAAAAAUAUUUUAUUUAUAUAUGUAUAAACAUACAAAAUUAGUGAUCUCAAUUACUUCAAUUUUAGACAGGUUAAUUUAGAUAUACAUUUAUUCUUAUAUUAUAUGUUUACUUAAUAUUCUACUAAUUUUUAAUUUUCAUAUCUUUUUAAUUUUAGUUAUUAUUGAAUUUUUGAAACUUAUGUUAUUAUUACACAUAUUAGGAGCUACAUGAUUUUUUUCUUUUUUUUUUUUUGAAUCAAAUGAUUUUUUUCUUUUUAACUCUGAAUUUUAUACAAUAAUUUAUGUAAUACUUUUCCUUAAUGAUAAAUUCAUCUUAUAAAAUUAUAUGACAAAAAAUUAUAAUUUUGGGAUACUUAUUAUAUUAUAUAAUUUUUUAAUGCAUAAAAAUUAUAUAUAUAUAUACUUUUCCUUAAUGAUAAAUUCAUCUUAUAAAAUUAUAUGACAAAAAAUUAUAAUUUUGGGAUACUCAUUAUAUUAUAUAAUUUUUUAAUGCAUAAAAAUUAUAUAUAUAUAUAUAUAUAUCAAUUAGACGAAAAUUAGUUAUUUUGAUAGUACUACUUUCCAUUUUAUUAAUUCUUUAAUGAUUUUAAGUUUUAAUUUGUAAUUUUUUGUUAUCAAUUUAAUUAAUUUUGAUUUAAUCAACUAAUAACUUUAUUGAUGAAAUAUUAUUUAUACUUAUCAUUUUAUAAAUUUAUUAUUAUUAUUAUUAUUAUUAUUAUUAUUAGUGAUGCUACAAUCGCUCAAAGCGAGUUAUGGGUUGUCAUCACAAAAUAAGAUCACGUGGUAAGAGUCUAAUAAGCAGAUACUCAACCUCACUUGAGGAAAAGAGACCCGAAUACCAUUACGCUCAAUUCUUCACCAAGACUCGCCCUCUCCUGAAGAGGUCGAGUCUCAGCAUAAAAUUACCGUUAAUAGGCAAGUCAGCAUAUCCCCAUUACGUCUGUAAUAGUAGGAUUACCGACCGAUUAGCUAGUGAAAUCUUUUAACAAAUAGCUGGCUAUUUCAUUGUCAAAUUUUUAGGAAAUACUAUAAUAAUUUCAUUCUCUUACAAUAUAAAAGUUAACAAUCACAAAAACAAAGAUACAAAAUUCUUACAUAAUUAUACUUGAGUUCUAAGCAAUUUCUUAUACUCGCCCUAUUUUCCAGUUUACUAAUUUGAACAUCCGAGUGGCUGCCAUAGGCGCCAACCACCUCAUUUUCUCUUUUUUGCAGGUUUAACCAAUUGCAGCAUAGUUUUUUUUUGUUUGCAUCAUUUGAUUCCGAUAUCGGAAAAUCCUUUAAAUGCAUCAUUUGAUUCCGAUAUCGAAAAAUCCUUUAAAUCCUUUAUUUUCAUUUGAAUUAUAGUCGAUCUCUUAUUCUUUUUCUCUUAUAAAGAAAUCCCUCUCUUCUUUCUCUCGAAAUGACUGAUAGUUCACAAGCUGCUGCUAAGGUUGCUAUCAAUGAGGGUGCUAUCAUUUCUUUUACCUCUAGAAAUGAACAAAAUACGCCCUCAAUGGUAAAUGAAGUAGAUCUCAACAAUCUAAACAAUGAGCAAAUGAUCCAAUACAUCCAAAAGUUGCAGGCUACUCUCGAGUAGUACAAGACUUGGGGGAGGCAUCAGUCAUGGCUUCCAGAGAAAAGGAGAAAGUCUUCAUUGAUACCCCGAGGACUCGGACAGAGGCGGUCCAAAUGUAAGGUUGAGUUUGAAGAAGAUCAAUCAGACGAUGCUCUGAAAGAUGUCGAUUGGAAGCUGGUACUGGCUAUUCAAAGGUACUAGAAGGAGUAAGAGGAGAAUUUUGGCCUGGAUGGUGCCUCGCCUCUUUCGGAAGAAAUCUUAGCAGAAACAUUUCCAACCAAGCUCAAGUUGAUUAGCUUGGGCAAAUAUGAUGGAACGAUAGAUCCUAGAAGACAUUUGGCGAUCUUUAGGAUGACCAUGCAGCUUCAGGAUGUUAAUGACUUCAUGUUGUGCCGAGUGUUUUCGUCGACACUCAUAUGACUGGCUCAAAAAUGGUAUCAACAUUUGAGCCCAUAUUUAAUUUAGAACUUUUUGCAGUUCUUUACAUUAUUUAAAUCCAUAUUUAUUAUUUGUAUACCUCAUAAAAAACUCUCCUCUGACUUGUAAAAGAUCCGCCAAGGAGAGAGCAAGUCUUUAAGGAGCUUUAUCUCACGGUUUAAUACUGAAGCAAUACAAGUGGAGAAGUUAAAUCAUGAGAUAGCAUGUGAAGCAUUAAAGAAAGAAAUACACAACGUCAAGUUUAUGGAUUCCUUAAUAAAAAAAUCCAGCUGCAACGUAUCAAUAGUUGAUAGACAAAUCUCAAAAGUAUAUCAGGCUGGAUGAUGAAAUCCAAGCACUGAGAGAGGAUAAGAGGGUGAACCAAAAGUCAGAGAGGCAAGGACAUGAAGAAGACCACAUGAGUUAUCUUGUCUUCCAAAGGCGGGAUGACCAAAGUAAGUAUAAGAAUUAUAAUCCAGUAAAUGACUCAUGGAUACUUAUUCUAAUGUGGAUCAGGAAAAAUGAUAAGAAAGUCAGGUGGCCGCUCAAGCUCAAUCCUGAAAAGUAAAAAGAUGAGACUGGACUAAGGUACUACCGUUUUCACAAAGACCAUGAUCAUAUAACAGAGGAGUGUCGGCAGCUGAAAGAUGAGAUCGAGAGGCUAAUAAAGGACAACACUCUUCGAAGUUCGCCAAGAAGGGUAGGGAAGAGAGGAGAUCUGAACUCGAGGCAACAACUCCUGAAACCACCCCUAAUAGGGAGCUCAUGGGGAUUAUUCAUGUAAUUGCAGAAGUACCUAGUGAUGAUCAGGAAAAAUAAGCAAACCACAAAAGAUGUAAUAGCCAAUCUGAUAAGCUCAGUAAAAAAUUAAAAAGGACUAUUUAGGGUCUCGAAGGUUAUUCGCCCAAAGUCUUAUAGGCUGACCAAAUUAGAUGGUCGAGUCAUGGAAUAUUUAUAACCUGAGAAAAUUUUACUAAUAACAGCUAACAAGGUAUUUUUUUUAUAUAUUGUGUUCUUCAGUAAUAAGGAAAGAUGGGGUUGCCUUGUUAAAAAAAAAAAAAGAUCAAAGAGCAUUCAUAGAAAGCCACAAGGCAUUUUGCCAGGCUAGAAGACUGGGCAUUGGUCCUACUAAAAAAGGCAUUUCAUGCCAAGCCACAAAGCGGAAAUCUGCUAGGCCAUUCGGAUGUUAGUCCCACUAAAAGGCAACAAGGCAGUUUCAACCAUGCCAUAAUCCGGACAUUGGACUGUGGAAUCAAAGACAUUCAUACCAGGCCACAAGAAGGGUUCUGCCAAGCUAGAAGGCCGGGUGUUUCUCCUACUAAAAAAGCAUUUAUGCUAGGCUACAAGGCGAGAAUUCACCAGGUCAUUAAGGUUUUAGUCCCAUUAAAAAGCCAUAAGACAGUUUCAGCCAAAUCAUAAUCCAGGCGUUGGAUCGUGGAAACAAGGCAUUCAUGCCAAGCCAAAAGACAGGAAUCUGCUAGGUCAUCCGGGUGUUAGUCCCACUAAAAGGCCACAAGGUAGUUUUAGCCAGGCUAUAAUUCGGGCAUUGAACCGUGGAAACAAAGGCAUUCAUGUCAGGCCUCAAAGCAGGUUCCGCUAGGCUAGAAGAUUGGGCGUUGAUCCCACUAAAAAAGGCAUUCACACUAGGACAUGAGGCGGGCACAACUACCGAGUCUUAAUUCCAUAUAAAAAUUAAUGAGGCAUUUGAGACCCAAGCCACAAGAUGGGUGUUUGCAAUCGAGUACUAGUCUCAAGAUUAUAAGAAAUCCUAUAAGGUAUCUUAAGCCCAAGACAAGCAUCUGCCAGGCUAUAUGUCUGGGUGUUAAACCCGCUGUUCAAAAAUUUUCAAGUUAUUUAUUUUAUCACCACCAUGAUGGUGUCAAUACCUUAACAUUCUUUUAAAAGAAUAUAAUAUUUAUGGCUAAAUACUGAUCAUGCAAAACUGUCAAAAUAAAAUGGAAAGAUUUGUCAGUCAAAUAAAAGGAGUAUUACAGGGUGGGAGGGACAUCAUCAGUCGCCUCCUCUCGAGCUUCUAAUAUAGGUUCAUCAUGGGCUAUUGUAGUAGAAGUCGGGCUAGGAGGGUUGUCUUUAGUUAUUCCUUCCUCUUCCUCACCCUCCUCCUCCUCUAGAAGGAUGUCAUCUAUCCAAGUAAAGUCCUCAGAAGAAAACCACUUCACCAACUCCUUUUUGACUGAGUCUUGACUCUCGAUGAACAUCUCUCCUCUCCGAGCCACCAUCUCUUGAAGCUUAGUCUCUAAUUCAACAAUUCUGUUGGAGGUGGCCCAGUUCUCCUCAACCUGAGACUGUAGCUCUUGAACUCGGCGCUGAAGUAUGGCCACUUGAUCCUCAGCAUUCUUAGCUUGAUUCUCAAGGGAAAAUUUGGAAGUAUUGGCCUCACGCAGGUCUGUCUAGAGUUUGUCUACUGACUCAAAAGUCUCUUUCAUUGUGCCUUCCACCUCAUCAAUCCAAGUCUUUAGCCUCGAGCAUUCCUCUGCCAGGAGUCAUCUAUUCGUUUCUUGAGCACCAAACUCCUGCCUCAUGAACUUAUUAUGUCUUUGGCUAUAUAGGAACAAAAGGCACUCUCCAAGGCAGAAUGCAUGACAUUGUCAAAAAGCUCAUCUGUCUCGAUCUCGUUCAGGUGACGACGGUCUCCGAGCCUUAAAGCAUUCUUGGUUAACAAGACGGCCAGGCUACGAUCUUCAAGGAGAGAGGAAGUUUGGGUUAGUGCCAGUGCUAGCCGUUGAACGCUAGGAGGCCAUGAGCAAUCAAUCCCCAUGUUCGCAGGAAUGGGCUCAGUAGAAGUGGGGACUGCAGCAAAAGGCUCAAAAACUGGGACAAAUGCAGAGGCACCUAUUGCAAAAGACUCAGGUUGUGAAUGAGUCGACUCUUCUAUUGUAGGUUGGGGAGAAGGAGGAGGAAGCAUGGUUACUUCUUCCGCUCGACGUGCAUACUUGGGAAGGGGAUCGGUGGCCCCAGCGACAGCUUUGCCUUUACAGGCAACAUGCGCCGCUUUAGCAAAUUUGCUUUUUGAUCCGGCCAUAUCUGCAUAAAUUGAAAAGUAAGUAAGUAAGGCAGUUUGAAAUCUAAGAGAAGGCAGAAAGAAAAAUACCUUGAUCUCUAGCCAGAGAAGUGCUCUCUCCAAGUCUAGGAAGGUUGGGUAGGUGAGGACCUCGAGUCUGGCUCGCCUGAAGAUGACUUUGCCAAGACAAAAUGACAUUCAUCACAACCUUAGUAAUUUUCAGUUUUUGGGACGUAGCCAUUGUCUGGAGGAAGGCCAAAGCUUUGUCCUCAUCCCUCUACGGUUGGACCUCAUCCCUUCAUAACUCUACCCAUAUAUUCCAGCUUGUUCAAAGACGACCAAAACCCCCUGACACCUGUGACAAAGAAUGAAAAAUUUAUUCUUCCAACGUUUCAAAGAUGAAGGGAUCCGAUCCAAGAGCGUCUGACGUUUUCUCCCACUGAAGUACUAUAAUUCUUCGUUCUUUCGGGUACCUAGCUAUACAAUUGGGAGAAUAACGCAACACUCAGCUCAAUAUUGUUGUUAAAAUGAACAAAAUGGAAGGCCACCAAGAUUCUCCAACCGUUGGGAUGCAGCUUGGUGAUUGAAAGUUUAUGGAACCGGAGGACCUCAACAAAAAAUGGGUCCUUGAGGAACCGAAGACUCUCCUUUAGCUGCUCUUUGUAAAGUAUAAUGGUAUCCUUUGUAGAGAUCUGGUCAUCUGUGCAAACAUUCGAGGAUAGAGCAAAAAAUAUGAAAGGUUUCUCGAGAAAUUUGGUAUUUAUCGUGAAGACGAUCUACAUCUUGCUCUGAUAGGAUAGACGGGAUGUCACUAAUCAAGCUACCUUCACUUUUUUUAUCCGCCCUCAAUGGAACGAUAGGAGUUGGGGCACGAAUGGGGCUGUUGGAGGAGGAGCUUGAGGUGGAACUUCCACAGGUAGUAAAAGAAGAAGAGGAAAUAUUCCUAUUCAUUCUAAAGGGAAAAAGAAAACAAAAAUUACCGUGAAAGCAAGGGAGUAUAAAUGAGAAAGAAGGAGUGACCGAAUCUUUUAAGAAGUAGAUAUUACAAUUGUGACAAAAAAUGAUGUUUGGAGAAGAGGAGUUCUUAUAAGAUGGUUUUGACAGUAGACUUUAAAUGCUGCUUAAGAAACGGGGUAGAUCAUUGAAGAGCUAGGUAGGUGAAAUGACGCAAGCAGGAAAAGACCAAUCUCAAUGAGCCUCAUGCCCCAGGUCGUGAGAACAACUGUCACCUUUGAAUUUGAAGAAUCAAAGACCAACAGAGGGACCUCUGAUGCUACAUAAGAAUCGCCCAAAGUAAGCCAUGACUUGUCAUCAUAAAAUAGGAUCACGUGCCAAGGGUCUGAUAAGUGGAUGCCCAGUCCCACCCAAGGAAAGGAGACCCAGACAUCGUUACGCUCGGUUCUUUACCAAGAUUCGCCCUCCCCUGAAGAGUUUGAGUCUUGGCAUAAAGUUACCAUUAAUAGGCAAGCCAGCAUAUCCCCAUUAUGUCUGUAAUCACGGGAUCAUCGACUGAUUAGUUGGCAAAAUCUCUUAUCAAAUAGGCGGUCACAUCAUCAUCGAAUUUUCAGGAAAUACUAUAUUAACUCCAUUCUCUUAUAGUAUAAAAACUAAUGAUCAUAGAGGCAAAGAUAUGUAAUUGUUACACAAGUACACUUGAGUUCUAAAUAAUUUUUUAUACUUGCCCUAUUCUCCAAUUUACUAAUUUGAGCAUCGGAGUGACUGUUGUAGGCACCAACCACCUCACUUUCUCUUUCUUGCAGGUUUAACCAAUCGCAACACAGCUCUAUUUUUUUGUCGCAUCAAUUAUUGUUAUUAUUAUUUUUUUAUUAUUAUUGACUUGUUAUGAUAUUUUAUAUAAGUAAAGGAGAUGAUAAACUAUAUAGUUUUUUAUGUGGCCGAAACAGAGCUAUGCUGCGAUUGGCCAAUCUGCAAGAAAGAGAACGUAAGGUGGUUGACACCUAUGGCAGCCACUUUGACGCUCAAGUCAGUAACCUAAAGAAAAGGGUGAAUAUAAGAAAUUACGUAGAAUUCAAGAGUAGUUGUGUAAGAAUGUGUACCUUGGUCUCUAUGAUCAUUAGCUUUUAUACUAUAAGAAGAUGAGUUAAUUACCGCAUCUCCUGAAAAUCCGACUUGGUAUUGGCUAAUUGAUAGUGAAUCCCAUGAUUAUAGGCUAAUUAAUAGGGAUCUGUUGGGUUGUAUCUACUAACCAGCAACUUCAUAUGAAGACUGGACCUAUUCAGGAGAGGGUGAGUCUUGAUGAAGAACAGGGUGCCAUGGUAUUUGGAUCUUCCUUUCCAUGGGUGGAACCGCAUAUUGGCUUAUCAGACCCUUGCCACGUGACCUUAUCUUAUGGUGACAGCUCAUAGCUUAUUUUGGGAGAUUAUUAUAUUACAUCAGAGGUCCCUCCACUGGUCUUCGAUUCUUUAGAUUCAAAGGUGACAGUUGACUUCACGAUCUUGGGCACGUAGCAUAUCUAGAUUGGCUUUCAUACUCUCAUUGCUCUACCUGCCCCUAAUCAUAAAUGAUUAUUGUCUUGUUCUUCGAGCCGCAUUAAAAACCUGCCAUCAAAAUUGCCAUAUAAGAACCUUUAUUCUCCUCCAAAUAUCACCUUUUCUCACAACUAACAUCUUUACUUUAGAGAAGACUCGACCAUUCCUCUUUUUCGUUCACACUUCCUAGCUUCAAGAUAAUUCCUAUUUGCUUUCCCUUUUUAAAAUGAAUAGGAAUACUUCCUCUUCUUUUUCUUCUUCUUCCAAUGAAAGUUCUGCCUCAAGCUCCUUAUCCGAUGGCCCCAUCCGCACUCUAGCUCUUAUCAUUCCGCUAAGGGCAAUUCAUGAGAAUGAAAGCAUCCUGAUUAAUGACAUCCCUUCUAUACUAACUGAGAAGGAUGUAGACCAUUUGCACGAUCAACACCACAUCUCUCAAGAAACCUUCUGUGUCUUUGCUCCAUCUCUGAGUAUUCGCUUGGAUGACCUAAUCCAUGUGGAGGAUACCAUCAUGGUCUACGAGGAGCAGCUGAACGUAGGUCUUUGAUUUUUUAUAGACCCAUUUUUUACCGAGGUCCUCCGAUUCUAUAAGUUGUCAGUCGCCCAACUGCAUCCUAAUAGUUGAAGGAUCUUGGUGGCCUUCCGAUUCAUUUUUUUAACAAUAAUAUAGAGCCAAGUGUUGCACAUUUUUCCCAAUUAUACCAACUAGGUACAUGAAAGAAUAAGGAGUUAUGGUUCUUCAGUGGGAGAAAACAGCAAACGCUCUUCGACCAGAUCCCUUCAUCUUUGAAAUACUGGAAGAAUAAAUUUUUCAUUCUCCGCCACUGGGUUUCCAGGGGUUUCGGUCCCAUCCGUAGCAGCUGGAAUGUGUAUGUAGAAUUGAGAAAGGAUAGGGUCCAGCCAUAGAGGAGUGAGGACGAGGCUUUAAACUUCCUCCAAGCGAGGGCCAUGUCCUAGAAAAUAGACAUCACCAAGGCGGUGAGUAAUGCCAUCUUAUCUUGGCAAAGCCAUCUCCAAGCGAGCCAAGCUUGGGGUCCUCACCCUCCAAGCCUUCCUUGCCUUGAGGAAAGCACCUCUCUGGCUAGUGAGCAGGAAAUUUCUAUUUCCAACUCUUUUUUUUAUUUCAAACUACCUUACUUACUAAGUUUUUUCUAUACAGAUAUGGCCAGAUCAAAAAACAAGUUUGCUGAGACAGCAUGCGCCACUCGCAAGGGCAAAGCAAUUGUUGGAACGAUCGGUCUACCUCCUAAAUGAGCUCGUCAUAUCGAGGAGAUUAUCAUGCUUUCUCCUCCUCCACCCCCUCAUGUAACAGAAGAAUCGGUCCCUAUUCAGCCCAAGUCUUCUACAAGGGGCACCCCUGCAGUAGUCCCUGUUUUUGUUGAGCCGUCCGUCGAGAACACUGGUGUCGAAUCCCAGUGGCUUCAUAGCAUCCAACACCUGGCGCCAACACUAACUCGGAUGACCUCUCUACUUAAGAAGUCUUGCCUAUCAGUCCUCAUAGCCAAGAAUGCUUUGACGCUCGGGGACCGUCAUCGCCUGAAUGUGGUCGAGACGGACAACCUUUUCAACAAUAUCAUGCACUCAGGCAUGGAGAGUGUCUUCUGCGCAUACAUGGCCAAGGAGCAAAACAAGGCUCUGAGGCAAGAUUUCGAGGCUAGGAGGUAGACAAAGGUCUCCUACAAGAGGAAUGCUGAAGGAUGAAGGCUCGGGUCGAGAAAAUGGAGUACCCUCCACACUAGAGUCCGUUGACAAACUCCAAGUAGACCUGGACGAGGCUAAUACUUCAAAACUGGCCUCUGAGAACCCAGCUAAAACUUUGAGGACUAGGUGGCUACUCUCAAACACCAAGUCUAGGAGUUGCAGUCUCAGGUUGAGGAGAACCAUGCUGCCUCCACCAAGAUCGCUAAACUACAAGCAGAACUUUAAGAGACGAUGGCCUGGGAAAGGGAGAUGUUCGUCGAGGGCCAAGACUCGAUCAAGAAGGAGCUAGUGAAGUGGUUUCCUUUUGAGGAAUUUGCUUAGAUAGAUGACAUCUUCCUAGAGGAGGAGGGCGAGGAUGAGCGAGAGGAAGAGAGGAUUAAAGACAUCGACCAAGUCUCUGUAGAAAAUAUAAAAGAUGUAGAGAAUGUAAAUGUAACAGAGAUUUGGGAGAAGAAAACUAAAGAUAUCCCUCCUCUUAUGUAAUCUUUCGUGAUGUAAUAAAAGUAUCUCUUCUCGUAUCUUGCCAUUAUUUUUUACCAAGUGUUUGUAUGAUUGGUACUCCACCAUAACACUCGUCCAAUCAAAAAAGACUUUAAACAAUCUCUAAAAAUUGCUAAGAGGUUAACACCUAGCCAAAAAGAACUUGGUAAUCAUUGCCUUCGUUAGAAAAAUGACUAAAAUAGGCUUUGCCAAAUGAACAGAACACCUAGUCACUAGCCUAACUGGUGGUCAUGAAAUGAAUGACUUGGAAAAUUAACACUCGAACAUAUGGCUUGGCGAACACCUGCCUUAUGGCCUAGGCAUGUGCCUGAGAGAAAUUUAUAAGUGGGGAAAACACCCGGUCAUGUGGCCUGGUGAAUACCCACCUCAUGGCAAUUUUUGGUAGAGAUUCGCCUCUGUCUUUUGGGACUAAUGUCCAAAGACUCGCCUAGUGGUUACCCGCCUUAUGGCGAUUACGGUAGAAAACUUGCAUUUGUCUUUUAGGAUUGACGCCUAAAGACUCACUUAGCGAUUACCCGCCUUAUUGCGCUUUUCGACAGAAAAACGUUAUUUUUAUUAACAGGACUAAUCACCCGGUCAUGUGGCCUGGACAUAAAAUGCCUUGGAAAAUUUUUGUGAAACAGGACUGACACCUGGUUGUGCAGCCUGAUGGAUACCCGCCUUGUUUUCUAGGAAUAAAAUGCCUUGAAAACUUUUUGUGAAAUGAGACUAACACCCGAAUUACGGCCUGGUAGAUACCCACCUUGUGGCCUGACAUAAGAUGCCUUAUUUAGCGGGACUAACACUGGGAUCAUGACCUGGCAGAACCUGCCUUAUGGCCUGGCAUAAGAUGCUUUAUUUAGCGAAACUAACACCCAGAUUAUGACAUAGCGGAUACUCGCCUUGUGGCCUAGCAUAAGAUGCUUUGUUUAGCGGGACUAACACUCGGAUUAUGGUCUGGCGGAUACUCGCUUUGUGGCCUGGCAUAAGAUGUCUUGUUUGGUGGGACUAACACCCGGAUUAUGGCCUAACGGAACCCACCUUGUGGCCUGGGAUAAGAUGUCUUGUUUAGCGGGACUAACACCCAAAUUAUGGCCUGGUGGAACUCGCUUUGUGAUCUGGCAUAAAAUGCCUUGUUUAGCGGGACUAGCACCCGGAUUAUGACCUGGUGGAACCCUCCUUGAUGAAUGCUCUUUAAUCCUUUUGAAGAAGGCAACCCUAUCGUUCUUUGUCACUGAAUAAUAUAAUACAUGAAAAAUACAUCAUUAAAAAUUUUCUCAUAUUAUAAAUAUUUCAAGAGUGGGGAAUGACUCAGCCAUCUAACUUGGUCAGCUUAUAAGACCCUGAACGAAUAACUUUUGAGACUCUAAAUGGUCCUUUCCAGUUUUUUCUCAACUUACCAGACUCGGUAUUACCUCCUAUUAUAUCUGUUCUUUUAAGGACUAAGUCUCCUAUAUUAAAGACACGUGACCUGACUCUACUGUUGAACAUUCAAGACCUCUUCUGUGACUUAUUUAUUUUUUCCUUACUAUCGCUGGGUCCUCCUGCAACUACAUAUAUAAUCCCCACAAGUUCACGGUCAGAGGUAGUUUCAGGAGUUAUUACCUCGAGUUUGGGCCUCCUCUCUUCUCUAUUUUGUCUGGAAAACAUUCAAAGUCUGUCAUCCCUUAUUAACCUUUCAAUCUCGUCUUUCAGCUACUGGCACUCCUCCAUUGUAUGUUUGUAGUCUUCGUGAAAACGACAAUACAUGCUCCUAUCUCGCCUUUUGGCUCUCUCAAGGUUAAGCUUAGGAGGCCACCUGACUUGUCAUUUUUUCUAAUCUACAUUAGAAUACGUGUUCGUGAAUCAUUCAAUGGAGUAUAAUCUUUAUACUUAAUUUGGAUAUCCCUUCUUCGGGAUACUGAGUGACUUCCAUGGUCUCCUUCAUAUCCUUGCCUCUCUAACUUUUGGUUUUGCUUUUGACUCAUCCUUUUAUCCUUUCUCAACGCUUGGACUUUGUUAUCCAGCCUGAUGUGCUUUUGGGGCAUUAUCCAUUAGCUAUUGGUACGUAAUGACUGGGUUCUUGAUUAGGGAAUCCAUGAACUUGAUGUUGUGUGUUCCUUUCUUUAAUGCUUCACAUGCUAUCUCAUGAUUUAAUUCCUCCACCUGUAUUGCUUUUGUAUUAAACUGUGAGAUAAAGCUCCUUAAAGACUCGCCCUCUCCUUAACGGGUCUUCUGCAAGUCAGAGGAGAGCUUUUUAGGAUGUAUACAAGUAAUAAACCUAGAUUUAAAUAACAUAGUGAAUUGCGUAAAGUUUUGAAUUAAACCUGGGCUCAGAAGUUAGUACUAUUUUUGAGCUAAACCUGUGAGUGUUGAAGGAAAUACUCAGCAUAACACGAAGUCGUUGAUAUCUUAAAGCUGCAUGGUCAUCCUAAAGAUCACUAGGUGACUGUUGGGAUUUGUUGUUCCAUCAUAUUUGUCCAACCUUGGUAGUUUGAACUUGGUUGAAAAAGUUUUUGCUAAGAUCUCUUUUGAUAGGAGCGAGGCAUUUUUCAAGCCAUAGUCCUCCUCUUGCUCCUUCUGGUACCUUUGCACGGCCUAAACCAACUUCCAGUCGACGUUCUUUGGAGCCUCAUCCGAAAACUCUUCAUCAUCCAGUUUGGCCUUUUCUUUGAACUGGGCUUGGAUCGCUUCUAUCCAAGUCCUUGGAGUAUCAAUGGAAGCAUCCUCCUUUACCUUGGGAGCCAUAAAUAAUGCCUCCCCUUAAGCUUUGUAUUGCUCGAGAGUAACCUAUAACCUUUUGAUGUAUUGGAGCAUUUGCUUAUUGUUCAGAUUGUCGAGAUCUGUUUCAUUGACUAUAGAGGGUGUGUUUUGCCCACUACCAGGAACGAAAGAAAUGAUAGUGCCCUCAUUGGUAGCAACCUUAGCAGCAACUCGCAAAUUGUCGACCAUUUCGAGAGAAAGAAAAGAAAGAUUUCUUCUUAAGCAAAAGGGGAUAAGAGACUAAUUUUAAUUCAAAUGAACAGAGAGAAUUCAAUGGAUAAUCUCAGUAAUAGAGCCAAAUGAUAUGGCCAAAACAUAACUGUGCUGUGAUUAGUCAAUCUGCAACAAAAAGAAUGUGAGGUGGGUGGCACAUAUAGCAGUCACUCUAACGAUCAAGUCAGUAAACUGAAGAAAAGAGCGAAUGUAAGGAACUGCUUAGAAUUCAAGAAUAGUUGUGUAAGAAUGCAUACAUUAGUCUCUAAGAUCAUUGGUUUUUAUACUGUAAGAAGAUGAGUUAAUUAUGACAUCUCUUGAAAAUCUGGUUUGAUACCAGUUAAUUGAUAGAAGAUCCCAUAAUUAUAGGCUGAUAGGGAUAUGUUGGAUUAUAUAUGCUAACAGACAACUUUAUAUGAAGACUCGACCUAUUCAGGAGAGGACGAGUCUUGAUAAAAAAUCAGGUAUUACAGUUUUCGGAUCUUUCUUUCCAUAAAUGGGACCGCAUAUCGACUUACUAGAUCCUUACCACAUGGUCUUGUCUUAUGGUGACAGCUCAUGAUUUAUUUUGGACGAUUGUUAUGUUACAUCAGUGUUGUUAUUUUCACAACUUAAAAAUUUUUUAUUUGAGUUAAAUUUUAUUUUGUAGUGAUUUCAAUUAAAUUAAAUUGGCAUUGUUGGUUCAUAAUUCGGUUAACAAAAAUUUUAAGUCAGUUCGUUAACUGAAUUGACACCCUUAUUUGAUUACCUCAAUAAAAUUUUUUUAGUUUGGUUCUUAUAUUAAAACACAUUAUGGUUUUAAACCAUGCAUUUAUCUAAAAUUAAAAAUUUAAUUUAUUAUGUUUCUAAAUAUAAAAAUUGAUAAAAAAAAUAAUUACAUUAAAAUUUUGAAUUCUAUGUUUAUUAUAAUUUAUUUUUGAAUUCUAUGUUUAUUUUGUUGGUAGGAAUAUUUUUGAAUUCUAUGUUUAGUUUGUUGAUGGGAAUAUCCUUUUGGAAUUCCCUUCAGAUGCCUACUUUUCAAGAACAAAUAAUUGGAUUCUUAUCAAAGAUAAUUCAUGUUAUUCUCAUUACCUCAAAAAAAUUCAUCUACUUGAACGAAACAUGCAUUUAGCGAAAAUUCAAUUUAAUUAACUUAUUUUUUAUUAAUUUUUUAAUUAAAAAUACAUAAUUUUAUAAUAAUUUAUUUAAAUUUUUUCUAACAUAAUAAAUCAUUACAUAAAAAAUAAAAAAAAUUAUAGAUAAUUUAUAAUUAGGUCUUGUCAAUAUCUAAAUUUUAAAAAUUAACCAUUGCAAUGAAAACAGUUGAAAUUUUGGAAGGAUGGGUGGGAAAGGACAACACUAUGGAUGGAUUAUUAUGAGCGAGAAAUACUAUUAAAUCCUGAGUUUUUAAAUAAAUUUAUUAAUUUAUUUUUAUUUUAAAAUUAUUUAAAUUAAAAUAUUUUUAUAAAAAUUAUUAAUUAAUUUAUUUUAAUAUUGUUCAGAAAGUUUAAAUAAUAAAAAUAUUUAAAAUUAUAAUAACUAAAUAAUACAUAUACUUAAAAUUAUAAAGACAAAAUAAAAAAUAAUUUGAAACAAUAAUUUUUAAUAAAUAUCAAUAUUUUUAAUUUGAUCCGAUCAAUAAAUAAUAAAAACAGAGAGUUAAAGAUUUAAAAUUCAAUCGUAGUCGAACUGAAAUUUAAACGGAACAUUACUAAAUGAAUAUAAUAAAAUUAAUAAUAAUAUUUUUAUUAUAAUUAAUACUUUUAUGUAUUUUUAUAAAUAAUUAUUAAAAUAAAUUUAAUAAUGUGAAAUUUUAAAUUCAAUAAUUUUAAAUAAUAAUAUAACUGCAUCUAAUAAGAAAAACUUAAAAUUAAAAUUUUAUAAUUAAUAAAAUGAAAAAUAAAAAUAAUUAUAUUAAAAUUAUAUAAAAUAAUACAUAUAUUUUAAAUGUUUCAUUUUCCUAAACAACAAAAAGGCAACUGGAUGAAAUUUUUUGAGAUAACGAGAAUAACAUGAAUUAUCUUUUUGUUUAAUUUGAAAUAUUUGGUAUGGAUCCAUUUAUUUGUUUUUGAAAAGUAGGCAUCUCAAAGGCAUUCUAAAAGGAUAUUCCUAUCAACAAAAUAAUAACAAAUAGCACAUUUUAGAAUAUUCCAAAAUUAAAUAAAUUUCAUAUUCAAUUUAUUUUUGAAAUUUAUAACUUUCCAAAAAUUUAAUCAAUUAUUUUUUUAUUAAUUUUUAUAUUUAAAAAUUACCGUAAAAUUAAAUUACGUGGCAAAAGAUAUGAUAAAUGGACAUUAUGGUUCCAUCUGAAAAAAGAAAUAUCUGAACACUUUAAUAUUUAGUUUAUCAUUAAGAUUUGUCCUCAUUCGAAUAGGAUGACUCUCGAUAUAAAAAUUAAUAUUAACAAGCACAAUUUCAUAAAUUCUAUUAUGCCAAUAAUUUCGAGAACACCGAUCGAUUAAUUGACGAGAUUACUUAUAAAAAACUGUUAUAUUUAACUCUAUUCUCUAUAAAAAUCAACUAUUACUGAAAUAAAAUUACACAAUUCUCUUAUAAAAAAUACUCUAAAAUUUUAUAUUAUUGACUUAAGUGUAGUGGUUAUCAUGAACACCCACCACUUCACUUUUUUUUUCUUACAGAUUUAGUUAAUUUAUAGAACAAUUCUAAUUUCUAAUCGCAUUAGAAACAUAAUAAAAUUUAAUUUUACUGAUUUAUAUUUUAAAAUUAUAACGAGUUCUUAUACUAGAGUGGAGUUAGAAAAUUUUUAUUGGAGUGAAUUAAAAGUUUUAAUUCGAUUAAUGAAUUGAAUCAAAAUUUUUAUUAGUCGAAAUUUGAAUAAAAAUGUCAAUUGAAUUUAAUAAAAUUACAAGAAAAUAAAAUUUAAGUCAAACCAAAGAUAUUGGGAUCGUGAAUAUAACCAAACUAUAUAUUGUCGUCACUUUUAUAAAGUAUUGGGCUCGUGAAAACAACCAAACUAUAUAUAUUGUCAUCUUAUAAAAAGUAACACAAAAUAAUAAUAAUAAAUUUAAAGUUAUAAUUAAUUAAAUUAAAAUUAAUCAAAUUGAUAAUAGAAACUCAAAAAUAAAAAUUUUAAAUUAUUAAAAGAAAAAGCAAUAGAAUGGAAAGUAGUAUUAUGAUCGUGUCAAUGUUUACAUAUAUAAUAACACAAAAAGUCAAAUUAUAAAAUUUUUUAUAGAUUAAAAUUAUAACAAUUUUAUAAUAUAAUAAAGAUUACAUAAUUAUAAAAAAAAUUAUUAUUUAGCCACUAUUAUAUAUAAAAAUUCAUUAAUUAAUCUUUUAAAUUUAAAAAAUAUAUUAAAAUAUUCUUCACGUUUUAAAAAGUCUACUAAUUAGUCACUUCAUUGACUAUUUUACUAUUUAAUUUUUAUGAUAUUAAAAAAUUUAUUAAUUGACUUUUAGAUUUUUAAAAAGUUUAAUUAGUUCUUUUGUAUCAGGAGCAUUUUAAAUCUUUUCACAAUAUUUAACGGUUAAAACUAACGAAAGAACUAAUUAGCAGAUUUUUUAAAAUGUUAAAAACGUCUUAAUAUGUAUUUUUUAAAGUUACAGAACCAACUAGUGAAUUUUUCUAUAUUAUAGGAACUAAAUAAUAAUUAUCUCUAAUUCUAAUUUUAUUUAUCAUAUAAUUUAUAAUAUAAAUUUAUCAUAUAAAAAAUUAGUCAAUAACAAAAUAUUACAUUAAAUUAUUGCAUAAAGAUCAUAGAAUUAAAAAGAAAAAAUAAUAUAAAUCUUAAAUAUAUCAAACAAUAACAUAAGAUUAAAAAAAUCAGCAAUAAAAUUAGAUUUUUAGUUAUAUAUUUAUUUAUCACAUAAAAAUAUUUAAAAAAUCUAAUUUUAAAAAAUAUUAAAAAGAACUCUACCUUACAGGUUUAUUAUUAAAAUAAUAUAAUAUAUAAAACAGUUAACAAAUUUAAUGUGGUUUUUAAACAAAUUUUUUUGAAAAAAAGGCUUCUUGAAAUGGUGUUUUUUAAAGUAAACACUGCUCUACAAAUGGCUUAAAAACCACAUCAAAUUUGUAAAUUUUUUUUAAAAUUAUAUUAUUUUAAUUAUAAAUCCUACUUAUCAUUAAAAUACCUAAAUAUUACUUAUACCAUAUACAAUCACUCAAAAUAAACUAUGAACUAUCACUAUAGAAUAGGAUCCUGAUAAGCUAACACACAUUCACAGAAGUCUUAUCCCUGGAUAGGAAAAUUAGGACACCACAACACUUAUUGUUCAGAAUGUCAAGACUCGCUCUCUUCUAUGUUGACUGAGUCUUUCAUGGAAUAAAGUUACCGUUAGGGGAUGUAAUCUAAUAGAUACUCAUUAUGCCUAUAAUUAUGAGAUCCCUUAUCUACUAGCCGGUACCAAUCAGAUUUCCAUGAGAUUUGAUAAUUAACUCCAUUUUCUUACAAUAUAAAAGUAAACGUGCACAGAGUUCAAGAUACACAUUCUUACACAUUCAUUCUAAACUCAAAACAAUAUAUUACAUUCGUCCUUUCUAGUAAGUUACUGACUUGAGUAUCGGAUUGGCUACAUAGGUGCCAACCACCUCAUUCUUUUUCUUUCGCAAAUUGACCAAUCGCAGGUUAGUUCCAUUUCCAGCCAUAUCAUUUGGUUUCAUUACCGGGAUCUUCUAUUGAAUUGUUCCUUUUUAUUUGGAUUAAAUUUGGCCUCCUAAUCAUUUUUUCUUUCUCUUUCUCCUCUAUUCUUGAAAUGGCUGACAACUCACGAGCUGCUGUUAAGUUCGCUGUUAACAAGGGGGCCAUCAUCUCUUCCACUCCUGGCAGUGGACAGGACAUGCCAUCUCUGAUCAAUGAGGCGGAGCUUAACAACCUGAAUAAUGAGCAGAUACUCCAAUACAUUAAAAAGCUAUAGGCAACUCUCGAGCAAUACAAAGGUCAGAAGGAUGCCUAAUUUAUGGCUCCCAGAAUAAGGAAGGAGACUUCCUUUAAAGCUUCGGAUACUCGAACAGAAGCGGUUCAAACAUAGUCUAACGAAAAGGGCAAGCUGGAGGAUGAGGAGUCAUCAGACGAGACUCCAAAAGACGUCUACUGGAAGCUGGUCCGUGCUAUACAAAGGUACCAGAAGAAGCAAGAGAAGGACUAUGGCCUGAACAAUGCCUCGCGCUUGUCGGAGGAAAUCCUUAUAGAAUCCUUCCCUACCAAAUUCAAACUGCCUAGUUUAAAUAAAUACGAUGGGACAGCAAACUCCAGAAGCCACCUGGCAAUCUUUAGAACAACGAUGUAGCUUCAGAAUGUCAAUGAUUUUAUGCUGUGCCGAGUGUCCUCGUCCACACUCACAUGCUUGGCUUAUAAAUAGUACCAACAUCUAAGCCCAAGUUUUAUUCAAAAUUUUACUCAUUUUGCUAUGAUGUUUAAAUAUAGAUUUAUUACCUGCAUACCUCUUAAAAAACUCUUAUUUGACUUGUGAAAGAUCCAUUAAGGAGAGAUUGAGUCUUUAAGGAGCUUCAUCGUAUGUUUCAAUGCUGAAGUGAUACAGGUACGUAGAAGAGUUUAAUCACGAAAUAGCGUGUGGCGCAUUGAAAAAGGAAACUCACAACAUCAAAUUCAUAGAUUCUUUAAUAAAAAACCAUGCCGCUACUUAUCAGCAGUUAAUGGAUAAAUCUCAGAAGUACAUAAGGCUGGAUGAUGAAGUCCAAGCGCUCAAGAAAGACAAGAGGACAAGUCAACAUGAGACCCAAAAGCCAGAAAGGCGAGGGUAUAAAUGAGACUGCAAGAAUUAUCCAAUGUCCUAAGGAAGGGAGGACCUAGGUAAGUAUAAGAGGUACACAUCAUUGAAUGACUCACAAAUACACAUUGUAAUGUGGAUUAGGAAGAACGAUAAAGAGGUUAGAUGGCCCUGAGAAAGCUGGUAGGUGAGACAGGACCAAGUACUACCAUUUCCAUGAAGAUCAUGGGCAUACAAUGGAAGAAUGCCGACAACUAAAAGAUGAAAUUGAGAGGUUGAUAAAGAAUGCCACGCUUUGAAAGUUCACCAGAAAAGACAGAGAGAAAAGGAGACCCGAGUCUAAGGUAAGAACUCCGAAAAACACCACUGAUAGUGAACCCAUGGGGUUAUACAUGUGAUUGCAGGUGACCCUAAUGACAGCAAGGGCAAGAACAAGCGUGUUGUUGAGGACGUCUUGUCCAUAGAACAAGAUCCAUGGGCAAAGCAGGAGAUAAAGUUUGGACCUGCAGAUAAGGUGACAGGGUUUUUUCAUACUGACUUAAGGCGGGCCUUGGUCAACACAAAAGGCAGCUCCAUCAAUCUCAUUACUCUAGAUGUUUUUAAUAAGUUAGGUCUAGAUAAAUGUAACAUCGCUAAAGUCUCCUAUCCAUUAGUGGGAUUAGGGGAUAAGAUCGUGGCAGUUCUGGGCACCAUUAACCUUCCUUUUUACUGGGUAAUGAGAAGUACAAGCGAGAGUUGUAUGCAGAGUUCGCAGUGGUAGACAUUUCACUAACCUACAAUGUAAUACUCGGUUGCCUAGUCCUAAACUGUCAUGGGAUAGUUUUUAACAUGGGUGCUAUGUGUUUAAAGCUGCUAGCUCCAGGAGGAUUAGCUAUCUUUCGAGGCAGCCAGAAAUCAAUCUAGGAAUGUUACAAGCACUCGAAGAAUAGCCUUGGGAAGACAAAGAUGCCCAUUGAUCUGCUAGAGAAAUUAGAUUCUCAUUCAAAGCCAAAGCUCUCAAACCCAGUAAAAGAAGUCCAACUAGAAACUAAUAAAAAGGUAUGCUUUGGAACUGCAUUAGAUAAUGAAGUAAGAAAUAAAUUAAUAGAAUUGCUAAAAUGCAGAAUGACCACUUUUGCUUGGUCUCUAAAAGAUAUAAAAGGUAUUGACCAGACUUUUAUCACCCACAAGUUGUCCAUCGACGAGACAAUAAAAUCGAUACAGUAAAAGAAAAGAAAAUUUUGCACCAGAUAGAAGCAUGUGAUUAAGGAGGAGGUUAAUAAACUCUUAAGUGCAGGACUGAUAAAAGAGAUCCAAUAUCCUACAUGGCUCGCCAGUGUAAUACUGGUCAAUAAGGCAAAUGGAAAGUGGAGGAUGUGCAUGGACUUCACUUACUUAAACAAAGCGUGUCAAAAAGAUCACUAUCCACUCCCGCCCAUCGACAGGUUAGUAGACUCUACCUCAGGACAUGCAAUGGUCUCCUUCUUUAAUGCCAUUUUAGGUUACCACUAGAUCUUGAUGGACCCCAAAGAUGCAGAAAAAAUUACUUUCAUCACCGAUGAAGGAGUUUUUUUAUUACAAGAUGAUGCCGUUUGGAUUAAAGAAUGCAAAGGUGACCUACCAAAGGCUGGUGUGAAGCAUUUUCAAAGACUUGGUAGGAAUAACGAUUGAAGUAUACGUGGACAAUAUGGUAAUGAAAAGCCAAACCUUAGAAGAUUACUCAAGAAACAUCUAAAUGGUUUUCGACAUACUGGAUAAGGCAGGUAUGAAACUUAACCCUAAAAAUGUACUUUUGGAGUAAGAGUUGGAAAAUUUCUAGGGUAUAUAGUCUCUGAAAGAGGCAUAGAAGCAAACUUGAAAAAAAAUUAAAGCCAUCUAAAAUGUGAAAGCACUCAAGUGCAUAAAUGACAUACAGAAAUUGAAUGGGUGGGUCACAGCUCUUGGUCAGUUUAUAUAAUGCUCGACCAGGAGGUGCUUCCCAUUCUUUAAAGCUUUAAAAGGCAAAUAUAAUUUUCUGUGGAAGAAUUUAAAAAUUAAAAGCUUUUUUAUCAUCUCCUCUUUUGUUAAGCUCGCCCAUCGAAGGCGAGGUUUUAUUUUCCUAUCUAUUUGUCAUGCAGGAAACAACAAGCUAUACGCCCGUACGAGAUGACAAGGGAGAGCAAAGCCCUGUCCACUAUGCCAGUCAAGUCUUAAAGGGGGAGGAAUUGAAUUAUCCCUCUCUCGAGAAGAUGUCUGCCAUCAAAUUGCAUCCCUACUUCGAGUCGCAUACAAUAGAGGUAAGGACAAACUAUCCUCUAUGAAAGGUACUUUAAAAGCCAAAGUUGUAAGGAUGGUUGUCCACCUAAGCCAUGAUGCUAUCAGCAUACGACAUCAGGUAUGUCUCAAGAAACACGAUGAAAGCCCAGGCUGUAACUGAUUUCAUUGCAGAAAUGACUCAACCCCAGGAGACCUCAGAAAUGUUGGUUGAAGAAUGGAAGGUUUGGGCAGAUGGUGCCUGUGGAGCCAGUGGCUCUGGAAUCAGAAUCCUUUUGCAAAGUCAGACAGAAAUAAAGCUUCAUUACGUAGUAAAACUAGCCUUCAAUGCCAUGAACAAUGUAGCUAGGUACGAGGCUGUGACUAUAGCUCUAAGAAUUAUCGCGGAGAUAGGUAUACAAAAGUCAAUUAUUUUUAGUACCUCACAAUUAGUUGUUAAUCAAUGUUAGAGACAAUUCAAAGUCUGAGAAUCUAAUCUUGUCAAAUGUGAAGAGAAAAUCCAAUUCUUAAUAAUGAGGAUCAAAGAUAGGCAGGGAGACUGCGAACUUUACCAAGUAGCCAGAAGCAAUAAUGAGGAAGCUGAUCAGUUGGCAAAAAUGGCAGCGGCAGGAGAAAAGUGCUUGACUUAGUCAUUUCAGUUUGAAGAAAUACAUACUUCGACAACCGAUGAAGAAGAGUCUUUGCCCAUUGACGAAGGAGAAUCGUGGAUGAUGCCGGUGUAUAGGUUAUUGAUAGAGUAUGAGUUGCCAACCGAUGAACUGACAGCCAAAUAGGUAAUAAGAAGGUCCUCUAGAUAUGUACUAAUAAAUAGUUGGUUGUACAGGAGGUCGUCAAUACAAUCGUAGCUAUGAUGCAUAACAGAGGAUGAUGGCUGAAGUAUCCUUAAAUAUAUCCAUGAAGAAGACUGCAAAAGUCAUGAAGGAGCUCAAAUGAUUGCCUGAAAGACAUUCAGGCAAGGAUAUUACUGGCCAACAGUAAUGCAGGAUGCAAAGGACCUCGUCUAGAAGUGUCGGCGGUGUCAAAUGCAUGCAAGCAUUCUACAAACCCCUGGUGAGAUGCAAGCAGCAAUGGAAAGCCCUUGGCCCUUUUCUCAAUGGGCUAAACAUCCUUGGCCCAUUCCCAAAAGCAAUCAGGUCAAGAAAAUUUGUGAUCAUAGUAGUGGACCAUUUCAGCAAGUGGGCCGAGGCAGAAGUAGUCCAGUCCAUCACCACGCAGCAGGCAAUCUCCUUCAUUAGCAAAAACAUAUUUACCCAAUUUGGAAUCCCUAAGCUAGUUAUCACUGAUAAUGGGACUCAAUUUGUGAGUUCCAAGUUUAAAGAUUUCUGCAGAAAAUGAAAAAUUCACUUAAGAUUCAGCAGAAAAUGAAAAAUUCACUUAAGAUUCAGCUCGGCGUACCAUCCUCAAAUCAAUGGCAUGAAUGAGGUAACAAAUAGGACAAUCCUACAAGGUUUGAAGAAAAGGCUCGACAAAGGCAAAGGUAAUUGGAUCGAGGAGUUGCCCCACAUCUUCUAGACAUACAAAACAAUCCCGACAAUAGCUAUAAGGAAAACCCCGUUUUUGCUUGUAUAUGGGGCUGAGAGAGUAAUUCCCAUAGAGGUCCAAGUAAGCAGUUUUAGGACUCAACACCCUGAGUCCUCAUGGGACCCGAAGGAGAUGCAAUAUAAACUUGACCAAGCUAAAUUUUUGUGAGAACAAGCUGCAAUUAGAAUGGUAGUCUACAUGAACAAGAUGUCUCAAAUAUUCAAUAGUAGAAUCAAACUAAGAGUCUUUAAUAUAGGAGAUUUAGUCCUUAAAAGAACUUAUGUAAUAGGUGAUAAUACCAGGUUUAGUAAGUUGGGUGAAAAUUAGAAAGGACCAUUUAGGGUCUCGAAGAUUAUUCACCCUAGGUCUUAUAAGUUGGCCAAGUUAAAUGGCCGGGUCAUUUUCCAUUCUUUAAAUAUUUGUAAUUUAUGCAAAUUUUAUCAAUAACAUUUAACGAGAUAUUUUUCAUAUAUUGUGUGUUAUUCAUUUAUGAGGAAUGGUGAUUUGCCAAAAUUAAGAAUCGAUGAUCAAAGCAUUUUUUUUCUCAAGGAUAAGCCACAAGACGGGUAUCUACCAACCUCAGGAUCGGGUGUUAGUUCCAUUCAUUAAAAUUAUUUAAGGCAUUUUAUACCAAAACCACAAGGCGGAUAUCCGCCAGGCUCACGACUAGGUGUUAGUCCCACUUAUUAAAAUUAUUUGAGGUAUUUUAUGCCAAGGCCACAAGGUAGGUAUCCGCCAGGCUUGGGACUGGGUGUUAGUCUCACUUAUUAAAGUUAUUUAAGGCAUUUUAUGCUAAGACCACAAUGUGAGUAUCUGCCAGACUGAUGACCAGAUAUUAGUUCACUUAUUAAAAUUAUUUAAGGCAUUUUAUGCCAAAACCACAAGGUGGAUAUUCGUCAGACUGAUGACCGAGUAUUAGUCCCACUUAUUAAAAUUAUUUAAGGUAUUAUUCCAAGACAACGAGGCGAGUAUCCGUCAGGCCGAUAACCAAUUAGUCCCACUUAUUAAAAUUAUUUAAGGCAUUUUAUGCCAAGACAAUAAGGCGAGUAACCGCCAGGCCGAUUAGUGGGUGUAAGUCCCGUCAGUAAUUUCAUUUAAGGCAUUUUUUAUAUCCAAAUACGAGUAUUGCCAGGUAUUUGACCGGAUGUUAGCCUCAUUUAGCAAUUUUUUCUAAGUUAUUUAAGUCUCAUUUGGUGAUGAUCUAUGAAAAUAAUUGGAAGAAAGUUCUGGUUAUAUUCUUGGUCGAGUAUCAAUCCUACAAUACUGGGUAAAAAUAAAGACAAAGAUGAAAAUAAAAGUUUUUUUAUUAAAAUAUUACAGGGCAGGAGGGAUGUCAUCAGUCGCAUCCUUUCGAUCUUCUAUUACAUGUUCAUCUAUAGCUAUUUGAUAGAGCAUAAAUUAGUCCAUUUUAUCUUGAUAUUAUUGAUGAUUAUUUACAUGAUUUCUGCUUAAUUUAGUAUUUUUGAUAUUAUUUUGCAGAAAAUGGUGUAAAAGGACAUUUUGGAGAAAAUCCCUCUAAAACUGCCUUAAUUGGAGCAAAAGAGAGCAAGCCUGCCAAGUUGGAAUCAAGUGAAGCUAAAUAAGGAAAGUUCUAAAUAAGGAAAGUGGCAAAGAAUGAAAGAACAUUCAGCCAAAGCAAUUUGAAAUUCAAAUUUCAAAUCUCCAAGUAGCCUUUUCCUUAUUCAAGAAGCCAAGUCUCAAGUUGCCAUAAAUGAAGAGUCAAAUAAGGAAAAUAUUUUGAAAUUCAAAUCUUCAAGAUUCAUAUUCAAAUUUUAAAUUUUAAAAUCCAGGAUAUUAAGGAAGCUAAAUCCAAAGAUCACAUGCUUGCCACCUCAUGCCUUGCACAUUCAAAAUUCAAAUUGCAAAGGAGGCUCCACCUUCCUUAUUAGUGCAUGGGCGGCAAGGAGAGUGUGAAGACAAGUCUUGGGUACCUUGGGCAGCAUCUUGAAGACACUUGGACAGCAAGCAAAGACUAAAGGCCCCACUCCUUGCACUUGAACACAUGCCCCACGUUUUUCCCUUCUCACAUGUGCAUGGAUGGCACAUCUUGGACCAAGGGCAUUUUGGGCAGUCACUUGAAGUCUUUUGGGUAGCCUCUUGACACCUUGGGAAGCCUCUUCACUAAUUAGGAAGCCAGUAUCAUCUAGGGCAACACUUUUCAAGUAUAAAAAGAUACAUAAGGAGCCUCCCCAUGCUCUUUCAAGCCCCCCUUGGAGGCACCUACGGGAUUCACAUCUCUUCUUCUACCUUUCUUCUUUUUUUUUAUUUUUUGGUUUUUGUUUCAGCCAUGAGAGGCUGAAACCCUUUAUUCUAGUUGAAGAUUAGGUGAUGCUUUAGUUGUUUUAUGGAUUGGGAGACUUGAUCAAACAUUGUUUAUCUUUUGUUAUUCAAUAUUCAUACAAUCUCAUGCUUAAUUCCAUUGUUGCUUUGUUGUUUUUAUCAAUAUGGCCAAUUGAUUCUUGAUUGCAAGGUAAUAAUAUGUUAGUUUGGGUGAUUUAAGUCCGUAAUUGCUUGGAUUAUUCAAACAUAAGAACACUUGAAGUAAAAACCAAGGAAAUUGUAUGAUCUAGCAACAUCUCAUGCGUUUGAGUAGUUAGGAUUGGAUUUUUCUCUUUCUUCAUGCAAUUAAUAAUUGUUUGAUGCCUAAGGGCCAAGGACGUUCCUUGGCAAUUUGUUAAUUAGUAAUUAAUUAGAGGACGUUUCCUAAUUAGUUUAAUCAUAAGGAGGGACAUGGUGGUGAGAAGCGUCUUCCAUCUCCACAACUAAUCUAUUGAAUCAAUCAAAAGAAACUAAGUGUCAAUGAUCAAUCCCAACAACUCAAGUGGAUAUAAUUCUUCAACUAGAGCUUUCUUAUUAUUUAUUUCUCUUUUAUUUUAUUAUUCGCUUAUUUUAAUUACUUUCAGUAGUUUGUUAAUCAAAUCAAUCUCAAACCCCCCAUUUUACUUUUACUGCAAUUUAUUUUUAUUCCGCUUUCAGUUUAUCUCGCUUUCAAUUUAUCUCGUUUCUGUUUACUUUGCUUUCAGUUUAUUUUGCUUUCAGUUUAUCUCGCUUUCAGUUUAUCUCGCUUUCAGUUUAUUCCGCUUUCAGUUUAUCUCGCUUUCAGUUUAUCUCAUUUCAGUUUACUUUGCUUUCAGUUUAUUUUUAUUUCAGUUUAUGCUCUUGGUCUUGAUAAGGAAAAUAGGUAAGUUUUCAAUUCCCUGUGGAUUCGAUCCUUUCACCACUAUCUGCAGUUGUAAAUUGUUGAUAACCAGAAAGGUUAUUUUUUACCGGCUUCGACAACCGUGAGUCACUAUUACAUUAGAAAAUGGGUCAAACAGAUUGUCUUCGAUUGGCCUCUCUUCGUCUUGCCCAUCCUCGUCCUCGUCCUCAUCUUCAGGAAAGAUGUCUUCAAUCCAGGCGAAAUCCUCAAAAGGAAAGCGCUUGAGCAACUCCUUUUUGACCAAGUCCUGACCUUCAAUGAACAUCUCCCCUUCUUGAGCUACCAUCUCCUAAAGUUUGGCUUCUAGCUCAGCAAUCCUGUUAGAAGUGGUCCGGUUCUCCUGAGCUCGAGAUUGUAGCUCCUAAACUUGCCAUCGAAGGAUAGACACUUGAUCCUCGGUGAUUAUGGCCUGAUUCUCAAGGGUGAGUUUUGCAGCGUUGGCUUCAUGCAGGUUUGCCUAGAGUUUGGCCACGGACUCAGGGUCUCUUUCAUGGUAUUCUCCACCUCUUCAACCCAAGCCUUCAGCCUCGAGCACUCCUCCUAUAGGAGAUUUCUAUCCCUCUCAUGUGCCUCAAGCUCUCGCCUCAAAGCCCUAUCCCGCUCCUUGGCCAUGUAUGCGCACAGUGCACUUUCCAUAUGGAGUUGAUGAUGUUGUCGUAGAGAUCAUCUGUCUCGAUCGCAUUCAGAUGAUGACGAUCUCCAGGCCUCAGGGUGUUCUUAGUUAUGAGGACUGAGAACUAGGGUUCCUCCAAAAGUGAGGUCGUCCGGGCCAGUUCCAUCGCCAGGUGUUGGACACCCCGAGGCCAUGUGACUCCAGCUCUAGCCUCUUCCUCUGAUGCUUCAGCUUGGACAAGGACUGCUGCUGAAAUGCCCUUUAAAGAAGACUCGAGUUGAGUGAGGGCUGGUUUCUCAAUUGCAGGUGGAGAAGAGGGAGGAGGAAGCAUAAUGAUCUCCUCUGCUUGGCGAGCCCAUUUGGGAGGUGGGCCGAAUGUUCCAGCAAUAGAUUUGCCUUUGCAGGCAGCACAUGCCACUUCAGCAAAUUUAUUUUUCUUUCCAACCAUGUCUAUACAGGGCAAAAAGUGAGUAAAUAAGGCAUUUUUAAAAACAAAAAUGUUGGAAGAAAAAAAUACCCUACUCUAGAGUGUGGGAAGCGCUUUCCCAAGGAUUUUGAAGACUAGAUAGGCGGUUGAGGAGCCUGAGCCUGUUCUACCUAAAAUUGACUUUACCAGGAAAAAACGACGUUCCUCACUGCCACAUUGAUGUCUACCCUCUAGGUGGAGACCAUCCUCUAAAGAAAGUCCAAAGCUCCUACCUCAUCCCACUGUGGUUGGACCCCAUCCUUCCUAAGCUCCACAUGAAGAUUCUAGUAAGUCUAAAGUCGCCCAAAACCCCCGGAUACUCUAUGGCAUAGGGUAAAGAACUUAUUUUUCUAGCGCUUGAGGGAAGAGGGUAUCCGGUCAAAAAGAGUCUAGCGCUUUUCCUCAUUGAAGAACUAGAAUUUUUCAUUCUUCUGGGUACACAGUUAAUAAAGUUGGGAGAAGAGCGCAAAACUCAGCUCAAUAUUGUUAUUAAAGCAUAAAAAGCAGAAAGCCACCAGAAUCCUCUAGCUAUUGGUAGCAGUUAGCAAAUUGCGACCUUAUGGAAACGAAGGACUUCAACGAAAAACAGAUCCAUAGGAAAAUGAAGACACGCCUUCAAUUACUCUUUAUAAACCAUGAUUGUGUCCUCUGUAAGGAUUUAGUCAUCCACAUGAACGCACGAAGACUCGCCUUUAGUUGCUCUUCAUAAACUAUGAUUGUGUCCUCUGUAGGGAUUUGGUCAUCCACAUGAAUGCGCUGGUUUGAAGCAUGAACCUAGAAGAGUUCUCGAGAGAUCUGGUAGUGAUUGUACAGAUGAUCCAUGUCAUUUUCUGUUAAUAUAGACGGGAUGUCAUUCACCGGGAGACUAUUAUUGUCAUGAACUGCCCUCAGCGAAACGAUCGGAGUAGGUGCACAGUCGCCGGAGAAAGAGCUUGAAGUGGAGCUUCCACCAGAAGAAGACAACAAAGAGAUAUUCAUAUCGGGAAAUGUCAAAAAGAAACAAGGAAAUACCUUAAGUAAAUGAGAAAGUAGAAGACUGGGUAGUUGAGUCUUUUUCAAAGAGCAAAGAUCAAUUGUGAGCAAAAGUGGUGAUUGAAGGAGAAAAAGGGAUUUUAUAUCGAGAUUUCGACAGCAAGUUUAAAUGCUGCUCAAGAAGCAAGACAAUCAUCAUUUAUGUCCAGAAAUAGGCAAAGAGACGUGGAUAUGGAGAGUCAAUCCGAACAUGUCGCAUGUCCAAAUUCGUGAAGACAACUGUAAUCUUCAAAUCUGAAGAGUCGAAGACCAGUGGGUGGACUUUUAAUACGACAUAAUAGUCAUCCAAAGCAAGCCGUGAGCUAUCACCAUAGGACAAGGUCACGUGGAAAAAGCCUAAUAAGCUGACACGCGGUCACAAAAGUCUUACCCUUAGGCAAGAAGACUAGGACAUCACAAUACUCAGUACUUAGAAUGUUAAGACUCACCAUCUCCUAUGUUGGCCAGAUCUUUUAUGGAAUAAAGUUACCGUUAGAGGAUAUAAUCUAGUAGAUCCCUAUUACACCUGUAAUCGUGGGAUCCCCUUAUCUACUUUGCCGGUACUAAUUAAAUUUCUAGGAGAUUUAAUAACCAACUCCAUCUUUUUACAAUAUAAAAGUAAACAUGCAUAGAAUUUAGAGUAUAUAUUCUUACACAUUCAUUCUAAACUCAAAACAAUCUAUUACAUUCAUCAUUUUUAGUAAAUUACUGACUUAAGUGUCGGAGUGACUACCCAUAAACACCAACCACCUCAUUCUUUCUCUUUUACAAAUUGACCCAACCCAUCGCAACUCAACUCUAUUUUCAGGCAUAUCAAUUAUUAUUAGAGUAUUUAUACAUUUAGUGAAGGGGUAAUUUUAGAAGAAAAAAUUUCUCUCUACUAAAAAUAAUAAAAAUAGUAUUUUAAUCUAACAAUAAAUACAUUUUAAUAAAUUUUUUUAAAUUAUAAAAAUAUUUUAAUAUAUUUUAUAAAAUUUAAAAAAUAUUUAAUUUCACCAUAUUAUAAAAACUAAAUAAUAAAUUUUUCAACCAACAUAUAUUAUUUAUAUACUUUCUGAAGAAUUUUAUUGACUACAUAUAUUCUUUAUAUACUUUUUGAAGAAUUUUAUUGAUGUUUAUUGUUUUAUCGUAAUCAAUAUGAAAUAACAAUGAACUUUAUUUUAAAAUGGUAUAUAUAUCAACAAAACUUUAAAUUUUAAACUAUAAAUAUUAUAUGAAAUAUUUAUAUUAAAAUUUAUAUAGAAAUAAUUAAGUGGGUAUAUUUUUUUUAAAUUUUCAAUAUAUAGAAGACAUACUUUUUUUUAAUUUUCAAGAGUGGAGCUCAUAAAAUUUUUAAAAAGUAUGUUCAUCAAUUCCUUUAAUUUUAAUGUUUAGAUAAAUAUAAUCACCUAUACAUGACCAUCUUAAAUAAUUAUAUAAUUUUUAUAAUGAAAUAAAUUAAUAAGUGCUGUUUAUUUAUUACUUACCAAUUGGUAUAUGAUACUAAUUAAGUAUUAUUUUUAAGGAUAAAUUAUUAUUAAGAAAAUUUUUAUAAAAUUAAUUAAUUUAUCAAUUUUUUAAAAUCAUUUAAUUAAAAUAUUUUUAUAUUUUAUAAAUUUUGAUCCUUUGAUCUUUUUGUAAAAAAAUUAAUUAACUGCUUUAAAUAUAUGUAUUAUUUACUCUUUAUAAUUUUAAAUAUUUACAUUAUUUAAUAUUUUUAAUUAAAGUUAAAAUAAAUUGAAUAUAAUUUUUUUAUAGAAAAAUUAAAAAAAAUUAAUUUUAUAAAAUUUAAAGACAUUUUAAUUAAAUAAUAUUGAAAUAUGGAUAAACUAAUAAAUUCUUUUAAUAACCCAAGAACCAUUUUUAAUGAUAUUUGUAGAUUAUUUUAGAUGACCAUUAGGAUAAAUUACAAACUAAUUAUAUAUUUAUAUUUUUAAGAAUUAAUUUAAUAUAAUAACUAUAUUGUUUUACAAUUAAAUUAUAGUUAAUAUUAUACAUGUUAAGAUUAGAUCGGACCGGCCGAUCAGACCUACUUAAUCAAAGAUUGGACUAUAUUUUAUUUAAUUUAAGCUAUAAACUCUCUAUUUUUUAAAUCAAACCGCUCUCAUAAUUAGAAAAAAAAAAUACAUUUACUCUCAGUAGGAAUUGAUUUCAUGACUAUAAACUAAAUAGACUUCUUUAACCAAUUGAACUAAUUCAUUUCCCUCUAAUUUCUUUUUACUUAUAAAAUAAUAUAUGAUGACGCAGUGUGCUUUAUUAAAUUAUAUUAAUAUAAAACGAUUGUUAUAUAUGAAAAAUAAAAAUUAUAAUUUAUUUAAUAUUAAUAAUAAUUUAGUUUAUUAGUUAAGUUAAAUUUUUAUUUUAUUAUAAUUUUUUAGUUUUUUAAUAAGAAAGUGCAUAAAAAUUAAUUAUUUCAUAUAAAUAUAAUAAUUUUUAUUUUUAUUUGUUAAUAUAAAUUUAACUUAAAUUAAAUAUUUUAUUUAAAAUUUUAAAUUAUUUUCUAAAAAUAUCUAAAUCUUAAAAUUUUAAGUAUAAUUUGUUAUUAAUUAUUUAUAAAAAAAUAUUAAUUAUAAUAAAAAUUUUAUUAUUAAUUAUUUAUUUUCAACCGAUGGUGAUAUGAAAACCUUGAUUAAAUUUAUAGAUACAUUUAUGAAAAUACUGCAAUUUAUUUUUUGUUUUAAAUUCAAACAAAUAUAUGUAUAUAAAAGUUUGAUGGUAAUUAUUCAAAAAUAUUGGGGUUAUAAUGCAAAUACAUAAAAAAAAGCUUUCGUUUAGUGCAUUUUCAAUCUCAAAACGUAGACACUUCCAUGGCCACGUUCAAAACCACUCAAAAUGAAAAAUCUCUCUCUAUGAAAAAAACCCGAAUUGAUAAAACCAAUUGAAGAAGAGAAGAAGAAGAAGAAGAAGAAUGGCUUUUCUUCUACCAAACCUCUCUUCUUCUCUUCUCCUCAACUCCAAAUCCUCAGCUUCAAGAGAAAGAGAGAAAUCCAUCACUUCCCAAAACCAAAUCCAAAUCCAAAACCAAACACUUCCUUCUCAUUUUCAAUCAACAACAGCCACUUCUUCAACCAUAUCAACAACUAAAACAAAACCCUCUAGUACCAACACCUCCCUCUUUCCUCCCCCACCAC